This 1582-nucleotide ribosomal RNA is filed under the name Escherichia coli. Its description in RNAcentral is "partial 23S ribosomal RNA". It matches the Rfam family "Bacterial large subunit ribosomal RNA", at positions 1221 to 2787 of the family's 2925-position model. Lineage: Bacteria; Pseudomonadati; Pseudomonadota; Gammaproteobacteria; Enterobacterales; Enterobacteriaceae. The record is from RNAcentral.
UUGUUGGGUAGGGGAGCGUUCUGUAAGCCUGUGAAGGUGUGCUGUGAGGCAUGCUGGAGGUAUCAGAAGUGCGAAUGCUGACAUAAGUAACGAUAAAGCGGGUGAAAAGCCCGCUCGCCGGAAGACCAAGGGUUCCUGUCCAACGUUAAUCGGGGCAGGGUGAGUCGACCCCUAAGGCGAGGCCGAAAGGCGUAGUCGAUGGGAAACAGGUUAAUAUUCCUGUACUUGGUGUUACUGCGAAGGGGGGACGGAGAAGGCUAUGUUGGCCGGGCGACGGUUGUCCCGGUUUAAGCGUGUAGGCUGGUUUUCCAGGCAAAUCCGGAAAAUCAAGGCUGAGGCGUGAUGACGAGGCACUACGGUGCUGAAGCAACAAAUGCCCUGCUUCCAGGAAAAGCCUCUAAGCAUCAGGUAACAUCAAAUCGUACCCCAAACCGACACAGGUGGUCAGGUAGAGAAUACCAAGGCGCUUGAGAGAACUCGGGUGAAGGAACUAGGCAAAAUGGUGCCGUAACUUCGGGAGAAGGCACGCUGAUAUGUAGGUGAAGCGACUUGCUCGUGGAGCUGAAAUCAGUCGAAGAUACCAGCUGGCUGCAACUGUUUAUUAAAAACACAGCACUGUGCAAACACGAAAGUGGACGUAUACGGUGUGACGCCUGCCCGGUGCCGGAAGGUUAAUUGAUGGGGUCAGCGCAAGCGAAGCUCUUGAUCGAAGCCCCGGUAAACGGCGGCCGUAACUAUAACGGUCCUAAGGUAGCGAAAUUCCUUGUCGGGUAAGUUCCGACCUGCACGAAUGGCGUAAUGAUGGCCAGGCUGUCUCCACCCGAGACUCAGUGAAAUUGAACUCGCUGUGAAGAUGCAGUGUACCCGCGGCAAGACGGAAAGACCCCGUGAACCUUUACUAUAGCUUGACACUGAACAUUGAGCCUUGAUGUGUAGGAUAGGUGGGAGGCUUUGAAGUGUGGACGCCAGUCUGCAUGGAGCCGACCUUGAAAUACCACCCUUUAAUGUUUGAUGUUCUAACGUUGACCCGUAAUCCGGGUUGCGGACAGUGUCUGGUGGGUAGUUUGACUGGGGCGGUCUCCUCCUAAAGAGUAACGGAGGAGCACGAAGGUUGGCUAAUCCUGGUCGGACAUCAGGAGGUUAGUGCAAUGGCAUAAGCCAGCUUGACUGCGAGCGUGACGGCGCGAGCAGGUGCGAAAGCAGGUCAUAGUGAUCCGGUGGUUCUGAAUGGAAGGGCCAUCGCUCAACGGAUAAAAGGUACUCCGGGGAUAACAGGCUGAUACCGCCCAAGAGUUCAUAUCGACGGCGGUGUUUGGCACCUCGAUGUCGGCUCAUCACAUCCUGGGGCUGAAGUAGGUCCCAAGGGUAUGGCUGUUCGCCAUUUAAAGUGGUACGCGAGCUGGGUUUAGAACGUCGUGAGACAGUUCGGUCCCUAUCUGCCGUGGGCGCUGGAGAACUGAGGGGGGCUGCUCCUAGUACGAGAGGACCGGAGUGGACGCAUCACUGGUGUUCGGGUUGUCAUGCCAAUGGCACUGCCCGGUAGCUAAAUGCGGAAGAGAUAAGUGCUGAAAGCAUCUAAGCA